This 466-nucleotide ribosomal RNA is filed under the name uncultured bacterium. RNAcentral's name for it is "partial 16S ribosomal RNA". It matches the Rfam family "Bacterial small subunit ribosomal RNA", at positions 28 to 507 of the family's 1533-position model. The record is from RNAcentral.
GACGAACGCUGGCGGCGUGCUUAACACAUGCAAGUCGAACGGUAAGGCUCCAGCUUGCUGGGGUACACGAGUGGCGAACGGGUGAGUAACACGUGGGUGACCUGCCCUGCACUUCGGGAUAAGCCUGGGAAACUGGGUCUAAUACCGGGUAGGACCAUGGUGUGGAUACUGUGGUGGAAAGUUUUUUCGGUGUGGGAUGGGCCCGCGGCCUAUCAGCUUGUUGGUGGGGUAAUGGCCUACCAAGGCGGCGACGGGUAGCCGGCCUGAGAGGGUGGACGGCCACAUUGGGACUGAGACACGGCCCAGACUCCUACGGGAGGCAGCAGUGGGGAAUAUUGCACAAUGGGCGGAAGCCUGAUGCAGCGACGCCGCGUGGGGGAUGACGGCCUUCGGGUUGUAAACUCCUUUCACCAUCGACGAAGGGUUUCUGACGGUAGAUGGAGAAGAAGCACCGGCUAACUACGUG